GGCACCACCCCAAGGGUGAAGCCCCGUCCUCUGAGCUGAGGAAGUGUGGGGUGAUGCUGGGGGAACCAGCACCCCCAGCCAACCUGCUUCAAGGCUCUCAGCUAACCUUGCGCCCAGCUGGGCAGGAAAGACCAGUGUUUCAACUCUGGAGAACUUUCCAAAAUGGGGCUGCCAGUCACCCGCCUGCCCCACCUAGGGCCCUCCUUAUCAGAUACCCCAGGCUUGCUGGGCGCUGAGGGUGAAUGCCCUCCUCCACAGUGAGCACACUCCAGUGCAAAAGCUGGGCUCCAGCUUGGACAUGAUGGUCAGAUGGGGUCUCCAGCAGGUGUAAACGGAGCACAAAGCAAAGCCCAAUGUCCCUCACAGCCGGAUCUUGGAAACCAUGUUUCCAGGUUUGGUCACUAAUGGAAGGAUCCUAUAAUUGCUGUUUCAUUUACAGUAACAGCUUCAGGUCACUGAGCGCGACUGCCCCAGCUAACGCUCCAAGACAGUGGAGGGGCUGCCCUGCGCCACCCACGUCCCUUCUGUGAGGCCAGCUCUGCUCUUUCCUUGGGCCUGGCCCUAUCAGCCACCUAGUCCAGGUGGGCCAAACCCACCGCUCCGGCCUGGAAGGUAGCCCUGGAGAUGGGCUCAGAAUGGCGUCCCCACUCCCGUCUGCCCCGUGAGCCUCCAUCGGGCCGUGCGCCGGACUGGCCAGGAGCCGUAGGACACUGCUUCACUGCGGUGCGCCUCUGACCACGAGGACGCUCCAGGUCUUGGGGGUCACCUUGCGUAGUGAGGGAGGCCGGCCAGAGAGCGAAGCUGGGAGACGGGGGUAGGGCCUGGGUGCACAGCUAAACUCAGCCGCCCCGGAACACUAUGUGGACACUUCCGGUGCCGUGAGACGUCGGCCCCGUGCGCCCGGGGGGCAGUCACAGGCGCGGCCUCGGGUGGCCAAGCGACGGCCCUCGCCCGU
This 955-nucleotide long non-coding RNA is filed under the name Marmota monax (woodchuck). Lineage: Eukaryota; Metazoa; Chordata; Mammalia; Rodentia; Sciuridae. The record is from RNAcentral.